CCUACGGGCGGCUGCAGUGGGGAAUAUUGGACAAUGGGGGCAACCCUGAUCCAGCCAUGCCGCGUGUGUGAAGAAGGCCCUCGGGUUGUAAAGCACUUUCAGUGAGGAAGAACGCCUGGUGGUUAAUACCCAUCAGGAAAGACAUCACUCACAGAAGAAGCACCGGCUAACUCCGUGCCAGCAGCCGCGGUAAUACGGAGGGUGCGAGCGUUAAUCGGAAUUACUGGGCGUAAAGCGCGCGUAGGUGGCUUGAUAAGCCGGUUGUGAAAGCCCCGGGCUCAACCUGGGAACGGCAUCCGGAACUGUCAAGCUAGAGUGCAGGAGAGGAAGGUAGAAUUCCCGGUGUAGCGGUGAAAUGCGUAGAGAUCGGGAGGAAUACCAGUGGCGAAGGCGGCCUUCUGGACUGAGACUGACACUGAGGUGCGAAAGCGUGGGUAGCAAACAGGAUUAGAUACCCCAGUAGUC
RNAcentral lists this ribosomal RNA (465 nucleotides) under Vreelandella stevensii. RNAcentral describes it as "partial 16S ribosomal RNA". It matches the Rfam family "Bacterial small subunit ribosomal RNA", at positions 338 to 795 of the family's 1533-position model. The record is from RNAcentral. Lineage: Bacteria; Pseudomonadati; Pseudomonadota; Gammaproteobacteria; Oceanospirillales; Halomonadaceae.